UUUAGUGGAGUGGUUCGACUCUCACUCUGAACCGCCGGUUGCCAUCGUCUCUGAUUUCUUCAUUGGUUGGACUCAAUGCCUUGCAACCCGCUUGCAAAUACCCAGACUCACUUUCUACUCUUCUGGUGCAUUUGUGGCCUGUGGGUUCUAUCUUUGAUUAUAUUUGGAACAACGUUGAAAAAGUGAAGUCUUUGAGUGAAAUAGAGUUCGGUAAUUUACCUGGAUCCCCUGCCUUCAAGCAGGAACAUUUGCCAUCCUUGUUUAAGCUCUACAAACCAUCGGAUCCCGAUUUGGAGAUGAUCAAGGCUGGACAUGUUGCAAAUACAAAGAGCUGGGGUUGUUUUAUAAAUUCCUU
RNAcentral lists this long non-coding RNA (355 nucleotides) under Gossypium barbadense (sea-island cotton). Its description in RNAcentral is "long non-coding RNA (GBAR_LNC015883)". The record is from RNAcentral. Lineage: Eukaryota; Viridiplantae; Streptophyta; Magnoliopsida; Malvales; Malvaceae.